This 610-nucleotide ribosomal RNA is filed under the name uncultured Alphaproteobacteria bacterium. RNAcentral's name for it is "bacterial SSU rRNA". It matches the Rfam family "Bacterial small subunit ribosomal RNA", at positions 128 to 772 of the family's 1533-position model. Lineage: Bacteria; Pseudomonadati; Pseudomonadota; Alphaproteobacteria. The record is from RNAcentral.
GCCUUUUGGUUUGGAAUAACAUGAGGAAACUUGUGCUAAUACCGAAUAAGCCCUUACGGGGAAAGUUUUAACGCCGAAAGAUGAGCUCGCACUUGAUUAGCUAGUUGGUAGGGUAAAAGCCUACCAAGGCUACGAUCAAUAGCUGAUUUGAGAGGAUGAUCAGCCACAUUGGGACUGAGACACGGCCCAGACUCCUACGGGAGGCAGCAGUGGGGAAUCUUGCACAAUGGGGGAAACCCUGAUGCAGCGAUGCCGCGUGAGUGAAGAAGGCCUUUGGGUUGUAAAGCUCUUUCGUCGGGGAAGAAAAUGACUGUACCCGAAUAAGAAGGUCCGGCUAACUUCGUGCCAGCAGCCGCGGUAAUACGAAGGGACCUAGCGUAGUUCGGAAUUACUGGGCUUAAAGGGCUCGUAGGUGGUUAGAAAAGUUGGUGGUGAAAUCCCAAGGCUUAACCUUGGAACUGCCAUCAAAACUUUUUAACUAGAGUAUGAUAGAGGAAAGUGGAAUUUCUAGUGUAGAGGUGAAAUUCGUAGAUAUUAGAAAGAACACCGAUUGCGAAGGCAACUUUCUGGAUCAUUACUGACACUGAGGAGCGAAAGCAUGGGUAGCGAA